Transfer RNA from Pseudozyma hubeiensis SY62, 87 nucleotides. It matches the Rfam family "tRNA". From Rfam's summary of the family: Transfer RNA (tRNA) molecules are approximately 80 nucleotides in length. Their secondary structure includes four short double-helical elements and three loops (D, anti-codon, and T loops). Further hydrogen bonds mediate the characteristic L-shaped molecular structure. tRNAs have two regions of fundamental functional importance: the anti-codon, which is responsible for specific mRNA codon recognition, and the 3' end, to which the tRNAs corresponding amino acid is attached (by aminoacyl-tRNA synthetases). tRNAs cope with the degeneracy of the genetic code in two manners: having more than one tRNA (with a specific anti-codon) for a particular amino acid; and 'wobble' base-pairing, i.e. permitting non-standard base-pairing at the 3rd anti-codon position. The record is from Rfam. Lineage: Eukaryota; Fungi; Basidiomycota; Ustilaginomycetes; Ustilaginales; Ustilaginaceae.
UCCCAGUUAGUACAAUGGUCAGUAUACGGCUUUUUCAUCGCGUAAACACGAACAGCUGAGAUCGGGGUUCGAUUCCCCGGCCGGGAA